Molecule: long non-coding RNA, 2550 nt
Filed under: Homo sapiens (human)
Lineage: Eukaryota; Metazoa; Chordata; Mammalia; Primates; Hominidae
Description: HSALNT0382453
Source: RNAcentral
GGAAAGACUCCGCCGUUCCUUUAAGGAACCAGGCCGAAGGCGGGAAGGGAGAGGUGACGGGGCCAUCGGGACUGCUAAAACUGUAUCCAGAGCGUACCCAGGCGGCCCAGGGACCCGGGCGGGCGCGGGGGAUACGGCGGGAAAGGAAUGCAAGAGCUGCGGCUUCACCUGCGACAGAGAACCUGGCGGCUCCUGCAACCUCCUCCUCCUCCUGCGCCGCCUGCGCUUGGCGCUGCAAACCGCUGCAAAAGCCACUGCUGGGAACGCGGCGCAACCCAGAGCCCGCUCUUUAAGCGCGGCUGUUAGCACCCCGGGAGGCAGCGUAGGGAUGGGGUUGAGAUGGAAUGAAGGUAAUACUUUGUCUUGAGCCAGGGGCAACUAGGAUGCACAAACCCCCUCUGCAAACAGCCAGUGUACACACCCUGCAAGGAAGGCGCGCCACAGGCUGCAAAGGGAGACACAGGUUCCUCCAGCAGCAGUGGGCCAUGGGCACCGAGCGGGGACACGGGGACGCUGUAGUGGCUCUGGGGCCUCACCCUGCACUUGCGUCCGUCCACGGUCUCCUCCUCAAAGCCUUCUCCGACCUUGAAGUUGAUCUCAGUGGUGCGCACCGUGGUGGAUGUCUUGAUGUAGAACUGAUCCCCGUCCUGGCGGAUCUCCACGUGCGGCUUGGACGCAGCCGCUACGGCCACUUUCCUCAGCAUGGCGUUCACACCUGCGCAGGGUGCACCACAGGCUUGGGUCACGGGGCCUCGCCGCCAGUCUCGGGACCGGUCGGGCACUGGUCAUACCCUAACUUUAGAAAGGGGCCUUAAAAUUGAUCCACUCGUUUCCCUGCCCUCGCCCUUGUUUUCGAGAUGAGAGACUGAGGCACAGAGAGGGUAAGUGACUUUCCUCGAGUUGCACAGUGAAUUCGUGGCAGAGCCUGGUCCCAAAUUUGAGUCUCCAAAUUUAAGUCCCUGAUCCUCCUUGCUCUCCAGUAAUCUCUCCUCGCUAUGAUCUAGCACGAGAUAAAGUCCGCACCAUCGAGGAGGGCGCCAAACAUUCAGCAAACGUUCGCUGAACGCGUGGGUUCCGGGAUCUCUACCAGCUUCUCCGAGACCCGGUGCGCCUGGGAGACAAGGCGAUCUAUUGCCCCGGGGACUCCCUCCUGCCUGGGCUCCCCAACUUCCACCCCCUCCAGGACCGGGGCACUUCCGGGACCAGGGCACCUCCGGGCCGCAUCUCCCCGUCGGGGCGCGCCCUCUGCACCAGCUUACCCAGUGCCUUGAGCAGCUCGUCGAAAUUCUCGCUGCUGCGCAUCUUCCAGGUGCCGGCGAAGUUGGGCAUGGUGGCGGUGGCGGCGGCGGCAGGUACGGACAGCGGCGGCGCAGCGGGCACACUCUGAGCUCGCAAGGCGGAGACUGGCGCUUUGCGCCCAGCGCUGCGCGCCUUGAGUCACUAGGAGAGCGCCCCCAACCCCGCCGGGCUUCUGGCCCCGCCCCGCCGGCCCUGCCCCCGCUCCCCCGCAGCCCCUACUCGGUAUGCGCUCAACUCCCAGCCCAGUUGUGCCUCAGCCUCCAGAGGUGCGGGCACCCGCUCUCCAACUGGGGAGCCUCCACCUCCCUCAGGACACCCACAUCCCGCUUUAAAAUGGGUGGUGGGAGAGGGUUAGCUGAAACAAGAUGGGCUUGGAGGGGAUAACUGUUGAAGCUGGGCGGUGUGGACUUGGGUUAUGAUUCUACUUUUCUCUCUACUUUUGAAUAUGUUUGAAAAUAUCCAUAACAUAAACUUAAAGUGGAUAGCGAGCGGGGCCAUCAGGGGAUGGGACCCACUCUUUUUUCACCUCCGGUCGUACCUACUGGGUGUGCCCAGAUGGUGUCCCUUCCCUCCCAGUCCGGGAUCCUAUUCUGAAACCCUCUCCCCGCAUCCCCACGCCCCCCACAGGACCCAUGGGGAGUGAGUGGCAGGAAACCGCAACCCCCAUCAACACCAGCUUGGGCACUGAGGCGCGAAUCCACGAGCUGCGGGUCCUCCGCGUUCCGAGUGCAGGAGGGGGCCAGACCUUUGUCAGGGCUCAGGACAAACUGUGGGUCGAGAGGCAUGGACUGAAUCAGCUCCAGAAUCUGGGCUAGGUGCGGCCUGUUUUGCAAAAGCGUGAGGCUUUGCACUCUUCGGGCAGGCUGUGAGGGCCAAGGGGAGGAAGUCUUCUCCCUUUGCUCCCAAAUAACCUAAACAUCACGACCUAAAGUCCCCUCGGUGUUUCCACUAAGGGAGUACAAACACUUCACUAUUACCCUUGUAGCUCUUCUCUGUACAUUUUCCUUCCAGCUUUUUCCCACUAUUUUACCAUCUGCACACCUCAGCCAAACUGUACAAUUCAGGAUUCUAGAACGUGCCAUGCAUUUUAUUAUCUCUAAGUUUUUGCCCAUGCCAUGGCUUCUUCCUUGAAUGCCCCUUUCCUCAUCGGGUUAAUCAAAUCUUGCCCAUUCACGAAAGCCCAUCUUUAUGCUCUCUCUUUUGUGAAAUUCAGUUUCCUAAUAAACUGUGAUUAUUUUUCUCUGAAUUGAC